UACGAAGGGGGCUAGCGUUGCUCGGAAUGACUGGGCGUAAAGGGCGCGUAGGCGGAUGGCACAGUCAGAUGUGAAAUUCCCGGGCUUAACCUGGGGGCUGCAAUUGAUACGUGUUGUCUUGAGUUCGGAAGAGGGUCGUGGAAUUCCCAGUGUAGAGGUGAAAUUCGUAGAUAUUGGGAAGAACACCGGUGGCGAAGGCGGCGACCUGGUCCGACACUGACGCUGAGGCGCGAAAGCGUGGGGAGCAAACAGG
Molecule: ribosomal RNA, 253 nt
Filed under: uncultured bacterium
Lineage: Bacteria
Description: partial 16S ribosomal RNA
Rfam family: Bacterial small subunit ribosomal RNA
Source: RNAcentral